Molecule: non-coding RNA, 207 nt
Organism: Pelobates cultripes (western spadefoot toad)
Lineage: Eukaryota; Metazoa; Chordata; Amphibia; Anura; Pelobatidae
Source: the annotation of a GenBank genome assembly
CGCUGAUCCCACUUUGACUUUUUCCAUAAAACUGAAUGUAGAUUUAUUUCCUUCUUAUUUUAACGAUUUCUUUAAAGGGGAUGUCCUUUGAAAAUUAAACCGAUUCACAUGCAAUAGUCUGUCGAGAUGUAAAAGUUACAAAACAUGUUAAAUUAAGUUAGUCAGUUUUCCAUCUUAAGAGACCACUCCAAGCGCCAUAAAUACUAG